RNAcentral lists this transfer RNA (61 nucleotides) under Haplobothrium globuliforme. RNAcentral's name for it is "tRNA-Gln". Lineage: Eukaryota; Metazoa; Platyhelminthes; Cestoda; Haplobothriidea; Haplobothriidae. The record is from RNAcentral.
UUUAGUAAAGUGUCUUAGCACAUCAUAUUUUGGUUAUGGAAGUGGGCGUUCUCUGCUUUUC